RNAcentral lists this ribosomal RNA (424 nucleotides) under Verrucomicrobiota bacterium. RNAcentral describes it as "Verrucomicrobia bacterium partial 16S ribosomal RNA". It matches the Rfam family "Bacterial small subunit ribosomal RNA", at positions 355 to 776 of the family's 1533-position model. Lineage: Bacteria; Pseudomonadati; Verrucomicrobiota. The record is from RNAcentral.
UGAGGAAUAUUGGUCAAUGGACGCAAGUCUGAACCAGCCAAGUAGCGUGCAGGAUGACGGCCCUAUGGGUUGUAAACUGCUUUUAUAUGGGGAUAAAGUGGGGAACGUCUUCCCUUUUGCAGGUACCAUAUGAAUAAGGACCGGCUAAUUCCGUUCCAGCAGCCGCGGUAAUACGGAAGGUUCGGGCGUUAUCCGGAUUUAUUGGGUUUAAAGGGAGCGUAGGCCGUUUGGUAAGCGUGUUGUGAAAUGUAGGACCUCCACUUCUAGAGUGCAGCGGGAACUGUCAGACUUGAGUGCGCACAACGUAGGCGGAAUUCAUGGUGUAGCGGGGAAAUGCUUAGAUAUCAUGAAGAACUCCGAUUGCGAAGGCAGCUUACGGGGGCGAAACUGACGCUGAAGCUCGAAGGUGCGGGUAUCGAACAGG